UACGAAGGGGGCUAGCGUUGUUCGGAAUCACUGGGCGUAAAGCGCACGUAGGCGGAUCUUUAAGUCAGAGGUGAAAUCCCAAGGCUCAACCUUGGAACUGCCUUUGAUACUGGGGAUCUUGAGUCCGGGAGAGGUGAGUGGAACUGCGAGUGUAGAGGUGAAAUUCGUAGAUAUUCGCAAGAACACCAGUGGCGAAGGCGGCUCUCUGGGACGGUACUGACACUGAGACGCGAAAGCGUGGGGAGCGAACAGG
This 253-nucleotide ribosomal RNA is filed under the name uncultured bacterium. RNAcentral describes it as "partial 16S ribosomal RNA". It matches the Rfam family "Bacterial small subunit ribosomal RNA", at positions 524 to 776 of the family's 1533-position model. The record is from RNAcentral.